AUCAAAAACAUGUCUUUAAGAGAAUAUAUUUAAGGUCUAAUCUGCUCAAUGAUUUAAUUAAAUAGCUGCAGAAUUUUAACUGUACAAAGGUAGCAUAAUAAUUAGUUUAUUAAUUGUGAACUGGAAUGAAUGAUUUAAUAAAAUAUUAAUUGUUUCUUAAUUAAAAUUAUAAUUUAAUUUUUAAGUAAAAAAGCUUAAAUAAAAAUAAGGGACGAGAAGACCCUAUAGAUUUUUAUAUUUAAAUUUUCAUGAAAAUUUAAAUAAAGAGAUUGUGAAUUUAAAUAUUUUGAUGGGGAAUUAAUUAAAUGAAAAUUUUUGUUAAAAAUUUUCAUUUAUAAAAGAUUUUUAAGUGAAUAAAGUUAUUUUAAUUUUAUGGAAAAUAAAAAUACCUUAGGGAUAACAGCAUAAUUAUUUUAUUAAGAUCAAAUUUUUAAAAUAGUUUGUGACCUCGAUGUUU
Molecule: ribosomal RNA, 457 nt
Filed under: Hyptia thoracica
Lineage: Eukaryota; Metazoa; Arthropoda; Insecta; Hymenoptera; Evaniidae
Description: partial 16S ribosomal RNA
Source: RNAcentral